Molecule: long non-coding RNA, 379 nt
Filed under: Mustela putorius furo (domestic ferret)
Lineage: Eukaryota; Metazoa; Chordata; Mammalia; Carnivora; Mustelidae
Description: lncRNA (ENSMPUG00000029171.1)
Source: RNAcentral
CUCCAUGUAGAGCCUGAUCUUUGUCACCUUGGCCAUGCCAUUCAUGAAACUAUGGUGGAUCCACAGGAUGAAUCAUCUUAUCUAUCCAGAUGCCAGUGCUUCCUCCGCAGAAGAUGCUUUCUGGGGUCGAGGGGCCUUAACAUAAAUCCAAAGAUUGGUGUACUGGUGCCCAUUGCCAUAGGGCCAGAAGGCAAUAUGACCGGAGUCCUCACCAGAAGAGAUCGGGACUCUGACACACAUGAGGAAGGCUGUUUGAAGACAGGACAUCUCCAUGCCAAGGAAAAACCUCAGUAGAACCAAGCCUGCCGACACCCACUCUUGGACUUCUAGGCUGCAGAAAUGUGGGGAAAUACAUUUCUGUUGUUUAAGCCACUGUGUG